RNAcentral lists this ribosomal RNA (614 nucleotides) under uncultured bacterium. RNAcentral describes it as "bacterial SSU rRNA". The stretch from base 1 to 520 matches the Rfam family "Bacterial small subunit ribosomal RNA", at positions 338 to 873 of the family's 1533-position model. The record is from RNAcentral.
CCUACGGGAGGCAGCAGUGGGGAAUAUUGGGCAAUGGAGGAAACUCUGACCCAGCGACGCCGCGUGCGGGAUGAAGGCCUUCGGGUUGUAAACCGCUUUCAGUAGGGAAGAAGCGAAAGUGACGGUACCUACAAAAGAAGCACCGGCUAACUAUGUGCCAGCAGCCGCGGUAAUACAUAGGGUGCAAGCGUUGUCCGGAAUUAUUGGGCGUAAAGAGCUCGUAGGUCGUUUGUUACGUCGGAUGUGAAAACCUGAGGCUCAACCUCAGGCCUGCAUUCGAUACGGGCAAACUAGAGUUUGGUAGGGGAGACUGGAAUUCCUGGUGUAGCGGUGGAAUGCGCAGAUAUCAGGAGGAACACCAAUGGCGAAGGCAGGUCUCUGGGCCAAUACUGACACUGAGGAGCGAAAGUCUGGGGAGCGAACAGGAUUAGAUACCCUGGUAGUCCAGACCGUAAACGGUGGGCACUAGUUGUGGGAACCUUCCACGGUUUCUGCGACGCAGCUACGCAUAGUGCCCGCCGUCGGGAGGUACGAGCGCGAGAAGUUAAACGUACGAAAGGAAGUUAGUAACGGUCGUGUUAGACGUGCCGAACGGACGACGACGAGGGAGGAGG